Molecule: ribosomal RNA, 392 nt
Filed under: uncultured bacterium
Lineage: Bacteria
Description: bacterial SSU rRNA
Rfam family: Bacterial small subunit ribosomal RNA
Source: RNAcentral
GACGAACGCUGGCGGCGUGCUUAACACAUGCAAGUCGAGCGGUAAGGCCCUUUCGGGGGUACACGAGCGGCGAACGGGUGAGUAACACGUGGGUGACCUGCCCUCAGCUCUGGGAUAAGCCUGGGAAACCGGGUCUAAUACCGGAUAUGACUCCAUGACGCAUGUUGUGGGGUGGAAAGCCUUGUGCGGCUGAGGAUGGGCCCGCGGCCUAUCAGCUUGUUGGUGGGGUGAUGGCCUACCAAGGCGACGACGGGUAGCCGGCCUGAGAGGGCGACCGGCCACACUGGGACUGAGACACGGCCCAGACUCCUGCGGGAGGCAGCAGUGGGGAAUCUUGCGCAAUGGGCGAAAGCCUGACGCAGCGACGCCGCGUGAGGGAUGACGGCCUGGUU